RNAcentral lists this long non-coding RNA (486 nucleotides) under Bos taurus (domestic cattle). Its description in RNAcentral is "long non-coding RNA NONBTAT017192". The record is from RNAcentral. Lineage: Eukaryota; Metazoa; Chordata; Mammalia; Artiodactyla; Bovidae.
GCUGGACAAGGCAAAUGUGAAAUAUGACUCAUUCUUUUGAUCACUUCAUGCUGUCUGUAUAAGACUGUUCAGGAAAAUCCUUGCAAGAAAGGCUUCCUUGUGGAUUUACAGAUUGUCAGACACCCAAAGGAGUGGAGGAAAGAUCAUGCUGCCUCCGGAAUUUGAGAUACACCACCAGCCCAGGGUGAGAAUCAGAAGACAAGCAAAGGGUCAGGUCUCCCGGACUUAAUUUCACACCUCACAUCAAAUCUCCCGCUGAACACAAUGUGUAUUUACAUUUCCACUUUGAGGCAGAAGUUUCUAUUUGCUUACAUGUGUUGACUCAGUGGAUACCUUCCUUCCCUUUUUGUUUUCCUCCCCCUAAACGGCUUCUAGUAAACAAGACUGGCAGAAGAUGUCAAUCAGAUUUUCAUUUCCAUUUUCACUUUGGUAUUUAUGUCUUCAGAAUUAAUGCUUGCCCCAAUGAUUCUUUUAAAGGAUCAGCCU